AGUGGAAUCAAGAUACCUUAAGAACAAUCCGAGUCGUAAUGAAUUGACUGUAAUGAAGAGACUGGCUCCCAGGGAAACCAUGAAGCUAUAACUAAACAACCCUUUCAAACCUCACAGUGAGUUUUCUGAGGGGCAAAGCAGAAGCUGGCUCACAGUCAGUUCUUCAAACUCCGCACAACUCCUGACGUCCUCUGUACAGUUGCUCCUAAAAAGACAUCACUGCCAUAUUCAGUAUGGAAAAUAAAAAGGGUUUGAUCUGAACAAAAAUGUCAAGAGUAAGAGAGAAGCACGAUACAACCAAAAUCCAUGUCCUCCGAUCAGUUGACUGCCCUAAGCACAGCUGAGCCAAUCUUUGUAUGCACGCAACGAAGGCUGUGGGGACCAGCAAUGCUUCAAGGACGCUAACCUCAUAAUGUCAGCACUCACUCCAAAGAGGUACUGUGUCCACAAGGCCACAGAAUCCACAGGGACAGCUCAGCAGCUGCGCAGGAGAUGCCACCAUCUCCAGAGAUCACUUCAGAGAGGACUUUGGGCUGACUAUUCAGGUCCAUUCAGACCUGAAUGGACCCACUGCGACUGGUCAGAGACUAUCACCUUUGUGAGUCAAGGAAUAAAAAAAAAAACUUUUCUGGCUUUGGUUUGCACACGAAGCAGAGAUGUGUAGAUACUACCAGCAAAUGUUUUACUAAGUUUCAGAAUCUUAUCAAGAGGCACAUUCACGACAAACUGUGACCAUCACCCAGUAACGGAAUGUUCAGAGCGAUGACGAUGACGAAGAUACCAGGGACGGCAGCUAGCCUUUUAGGCAUCUGCCAGGCUCAUAUAUCUGAACACCAGGAUUAGACUCCAAGGCUGCAGCCCCAAGUCUAGAAGCCAAUCUCAGAACUUACCAGCCUCAUAAAGCUUACGAGCUAUGGCAUGAAAGAGGAAGUGGUCUCUGUAUAUAAAAAUAAAUGAAUGGGAAGUGGCUUAAAAUUUCCAAAUAGUUUUUCUUUCCUCUGCUUCCAGGAAAGUCUUGAUAGUAAAAGCAGCAAUUUGAGGAAAGUUGACUUCUAAACC
Molecule: long non-coding RNA, 1059 nt
Filed under: Mus spretus (western wild mouse)
Lineage: Eukaryota; Metazoa; Chordata; Mammalia; Rodentia; Muridae
Description: lncRNA (ENSMSPG00010030454.1)
Source: RNAcentral